This 406-nucleotide ribosomal RNA is filed under the name uncultured bacterium. RNAcentral's name for it is "partial 16S ribosomal RNA". It matches the Rfam family "Bacterial small subunit ribosomal RNA", at positions 30 to 526 of the family's 1533-position model. The record is from RNAcentral.
AUUGAACGCUGGCGGCAGGCCUAACACAUGCAAGUCGAACGAGUGGCGGACGGGUGAGUAUUGUCUGGGAAACUGCCUGAUGGAGGGGGAUAACUACUGGGAACGGUAGCUAAUACAGCAUACCAUCAGAUGUGCCCCGAUGGGAUUUGCUUGUUGGUGGGGUAACGGCUCACCAAGGCGACGAUCCCUAGCUGGUCUGAUAGGCUGACCAGCCACACUGUAACUGAGACACGGUCCAGACUCCUACGUGAGGGAGCAGUGGGAAAUAUUGCACAAUGGUCGCAAGCCUGAUGCAGCCAUGCCUCGUGUAUGAAGAAGGCCUUCGGGUUGUAAAGUACUUUCAGCGGGGAGGCGUUACCCGCAGAUGAAGCACCGGCUAACUCCGUGCCAGCAGCCGCGGUAAUAC